Non-coding RNA from Schistosoma mansoni, 45 nucleotides. Lineage: Eukaryota; Metazoa; Platyhelminthes; Trematoda; Strigeidida; Schistosomatidae. The record is from Rfam.
AUCCAGCUGAAGAGUCCCAAAUAGGACGAAACCUGAUUCCUGGAU